GCUCGGGCUGGCGCAGCAGGUCCAGGGCCGCGCGGCCGGUGACCGCGGCGGGCUCGCGCGCCGCGGGCCUGCGCGCCUCGGGGUUGCGCGCCCCGGUC
Molecule: transfer RNA, 98 nt
Filed under: Wenjunlia tyrosinilytica
Lineage: Bacteria; Bacillati; Actinomycetota; Actinomycetes; Kitasatosporales; Streptomycetaceae
Description: tRNA-Thr
Source: RNAcentral